ACGGAAGGCAGCAGUGGGGAAUAUUGCACAAUGGGGGAAACCCUGAUGCAGCAACGCCGCGUGAAGGAAGACGGUCUUCGGAUUGUAAACUUUUGUUCUUAGUGAAGAUAAUGCCGGUAGCUAAGGAGCAAGCCACGGCUAACUACGUGCCAGCAGCCGCGGUAAUACGUAGGUGGCAAGCGUUGUCCGGAAUUACUGGGUGUAAAGGGGGCGCAGGCGGGAAAUCAAGUUGGAUGUGAAAUGUCGGGGCUUAACCCCGGAACUGCAUCCAAAACUGAUGUUCUUGAGUGAAGUAGAGGUAGGCGGAAUUCCGAGUGUAGCGGUGAAAUGCGUAGAUAUUCGGAGGAACACCAGUGGCGAAGGCGGCCUACUGGGCUUUAACUGACGCUGAGGCUCGAAAGUGUGGGGAGCAAACAGGAUUAGAUACCCUGGUA
Molecule: ribosomal RNA, 434 nt
Filed under: uncultured Clostridiales Family IV bacterium
Lineage: Bacteria; Bacillati; Bacillota; Clostridia; Eubacteriales; Eubacteriales Family IV. Incertae Sedis
Description: bacterial SSU rRNA
Rfam family: Bacterial small subunit ribosomal RNA
Source: RNAcentral